UGAAAGAACUGCAUGAUCUUUUG
Molecule: non-coding RNA, 23 nt
Filed under: Cricetulus griseus (Chinese hamster)
Lineage: Eukaryota; Metazoa; Chordata; Mammalia; Rodentia; Cricetidae
Source: RNAcentral